Molecule: long non-coding RNA, 315 nt
Filed under: Elaeis guineensis (African oil palm)
Lineage: Eukaryota; Viridiplantae; Streptophyta; Magnoliopsida; Arecales; Arecaceae
Description: long non-coding RNA (EGUI_LNC016769)
Source: RNAcentral
CGAUGGCAGCAGAAGUGGUCCGACUACCUCUACACCAUCAAGCAGAAGAACGGUGAGUCGAUCCAUGCCCAUGUCAAUAGUUUCAACGUGGCAACCUUAGAAGUCUAUGAUCUGGACCAAUCGACCGCAUUGGCCGGAUGAUGGAUGGCCUACUGAAGAACAACUUGAAAAAGUCAUUGACUAAAACUUAUUUUCAAGACUUUUCGGACAUGCUUGCCCGUGUGGAGAAAUAUGCCCACACGGAGGAGGCUUAUGCAGAGAAAACCCCUAUCAGUUUUAUUGCGGUAAGGCAUAAUAAGGAGCGCUCUUCAAGAC